CAUGCAGUCGAACGGCAGCGGGAAAGUAGCUUGCUACUUUUGCCGGCGAGUGGCGAACGGGUGAGUAAUGUAUCGGAACGUGCCCAGUAGCGGGGGAUAACUACGCGAAAGCGUGGCUAAUACCGCAUACGCCCUACGGGGGAAAGGGGGGGAUCUUAGGACCUCUCACUAUUGGAGCGGCCGAUAUCGGAUUAGCUAGUUGGUGGGGUAAAGGCCUACCAAGGCGACGAUCCGUAGCUGGUUUGAGAGGACGACCAGCCACACUGGGACUGAGACACGGCCCAGACUCCUACGGGAGGCAGCAGUGGGGAAUUUUGGACAAUGGGGGAAACCCUGAUCCAGCCAUCCCGCGUGUGCGAUGAAGGCCUUCGGGUUGUAAAGCACUUUUGUCAGGGAARAAAAGGUUUCGGAUAAUACCCGGAACUGAUGACGGUACCUGAAGAAUAAGCACCGGCUAACUACGUGCCAGCAGCCGCGGUAAUACGUAGGGUGCAAGCGUUAAUCGGAAUUACUGGGCGUAAAGCGUGCGCAGGCGGUUCGGAAAGAAAGAUGUGAAAUCCCAGGGCUCAACCUUGGAACUGCAUUUUUAACUACCGAACUAGAGUAUGUCAGAGGGGGGUGGAAUUCCACGUGUAGCAGUGAAAUGCGUAGAUAUGUGGAGGAACACCGAUGGCGAAGGCAGCCCCCUGGGAUAAUACUGACGCUCAUGCACGAAAGCGUGGGGAGCAGACAGGAUUAGAUACCCUGGUAGUCCACGCCCUAAACGAUGUCAACUAGCUGUUGGGCCCUUCGGGGCUUAGUAGCGCAGCUAACGCGUGAAGUUGACCGCCUGGGGAGUACGGUCGCAAGAUUAAAACUCAAAGGAAUUGACGGGGACCCGCACAAGCGGUGGAUGAUGUGGAUUAAUUCGAUGCAACGCGAAAAACCUUACCUACCCUUGACAUGUCUGGAAUCCUGAAGAGAUUUAGGAGUGCUCGCAAGAGAACCGGAACACAGGUGCUGCAUGGCUGUCGUCAGCUCGUGUCGUGAGAUGUUGGGUUAAGUCCCGCAACGAGCGCAACCCUUGUCAUUAGUUGCUACRUUUAGUUGAGCACUCUAAUGAGACUGCCGGUGACAACCGGAGGAAGGUGGGGAUGACGUCAGUCCUCUGGCCCUUAUGGGUAGGCUUCMMCGUCAACAUGGUCGGGAMGAGGUUGCCAACC
This 1202-nucleotide ribosomal RNA is filed under the name Advenella sp. RNAcentral's name for it is "bacterial SSU rRNA". The record is from RNAcentral. Lineage: Bacteria; Pseudomonadati; Pseudomonadota; Betaproteobacteria; Burkholderiales; Alcaligenaceae.